ACUCUAGUGGCUCAGACGGUAAAGCGUCUGUCUGUUAUGCAGAAGACCCAGGUUCAAUCCCUGGGUUGGGAA
Non-coding RNA from Bos taurus (domestic cattle), 72 nucleotides. Lineage: Eukaryota; Metazoa; Chordata; Mammalia; Artiodactyla; Bovidae. The record is from Rfam.